Panicum virgatum (switchgrass) is the source of this 350-nucleotide long non-coding RNA. RefSeq lists it as uncharacterized. The transcript has 3 exons. The record is from RefSeq and is a predicted model, not a curated record. Lineage: Eukaryota; Viridiplantae; Streptophyta; Magnoliopsida; Poales; Poaceae.
AGUGGACCAUUGGAGCUCGUCUUCGGCGAAGCUGACAUGAAAAUCGACCGCAUACACAUCGGUGUCCUCAUCUACACGGUGGCAGUAAGAAGAACGGGGCAUUGAAGCCAUCCACUUCAUCUACACAGCAGAGUAAGAAAAGUCUGAAGUAAAACCCAUAACCAAAGCUUGUCCAAGUGUUUGGAAGCUCAAAUAAAGUCUGAGCCAUGUUGAGGUCAAAAGAAGCUGCUCCAUCUCCAUCUCCCAUGGGUUGUGCUCCAGCAGGUGGUGGGUGCUCCAGCAGGUGGUGGGUGGUCCUGCUCCAUCCCCCAAAAGGGUCAUCUUCUUCAUCAGCUGUUGGAGGAAUGUUC